AACCGCAUAGGGGAGCCGGAGGGAAACCGAGUCUUAAUUGGGCGUUAAGUUGCAGGGUAUAGACCCGAAACCCGGUGAUCUAGCCAUGGGCAGGUUGAAGGUUGGGUAACACUAACUGGAGGACCGAACCGACUAAUGUUGAAAAAUUAGCGGAUGACCUGUGGCUGGGGGUGAAAGGCCAAUCAAACCGGGAGAUAGCUGGUUCUCCCCGAAAGCUAUUUAGGUAGCGCCUCGUGAAUUCAUCUCCGGGGGUAGAGCACUGUUUCGGCUAGGGGGCCAUCCCGGCUUACCAACCCGAUGCAAACUGCGAAUACCGGAGAAUGUUAUCACGGGAGACACACGGCGGGUGCUAACGUCCGUCGUGAAGAGGGAAACAACCCAGACCGCCAGCUAAGGUCCCAAAGUCAUGGUUAAGUGGGAAACGAUGUGGGAAGGCCCAGACAGCCAGGAUGUUGGCUUAGAAGCAGCCAUCAUUUAAAGAAAGCGUAAUAGCUCACUGGUCGAGUCGGCCUGCGCGGAAGAUGUAACGGGGCUAAACCAUGCACCGAAGCUGCGGCAGCGACACUCAGGUGUUGUUGGGUAGGGGAGCGUUCUGUAAGCCUG
RNAcentral lists this ribosomal RNA (603 nucleotides) under Salmonella enterica subsp. enterica serovar Ruiru. RNAcentral's name for it is "partial 23S ribosomal RNA". It matches the Rfam family "Bacterial large subunit ribosomal RNA", at positions 648 to 1251 of the family's 2925-position model. The record is from RNAcentral. Lineage: Bacteria; Pseudomonadati; Pseudomonadota; Gammaproteobacteria; Enterobacterales; Enterobacteriaceae.